This 546-nucleotide ribosomal RNA is filed under the name uncultured archaeon. Its description in RNAcentral is "bacterial SSU rRNA". It matches the Rfam family "Archaeal small subunit ribosomal RNA", at positions 333 to 879 of the family's 1478-position model. The record is from RNAcentral.
CAGCAGGCGCGAAAACUUUACAAUGCCGGCAACGGCGAUAAGGGAACCUCGAGUGCCAGGCUACAAAUCUGGCUGUCGUGAUGCCUAAAAAGCAUUGCAUAGCAAGGGCCGGGCAAGACCGGUGCCAGCCGCCGCGGUAACACCGGCGGCUCGAGUGGUAACCGUUAUUAUUGGGUCUAAAGGGUCUGUAGCCGGCCGGGUAAGUCUCUUGGGAAAUCUGGCAGCUUAACUGUCAGGCUUUCAGGAGAUACUGCCUGGCUCGAGGCCGGGAGAGGUGAGAGGUACUUCAGGGGUAGGGGUGAAAUCUUGUAAUCCUUGAAGGACCACCAGUGGCGAAGGCGUCUCACCAGAACGGACCUGACGGCAAGGGACGAAAGCUAGGGGCACGAACCGGAUUGGAUACCCGGGUAGUCCUAGCCGUAAACGAUACUCGCUAGGUGUCGGCCACGGUGCGACCGUGGUCGGUGCCGUAGGGAAGCCGUGAAGCGAGCCACCUGGGAAGUACGGCCGCAAGGCUGAAACUUAAAGGAAUUGGCGGGGGAGCAC